Molecule: ribosomal RNA, 315 nt
Filed under: uncultured bacterium
Lineage: Bacteria
Description: bacterial SSU rRNA
Rfam family: Bacterial small subunit ribosomal RNA
Source: RNAcentral
AUUGAACGCUGGCGGCAUGCCUUACACAUGCAAGUCGAACGGCAGCGGACCUUCGGGUGCCGGCGAGUGGCGAACGGGUGAGUAAUAUAUCGGAACGUACCUUUCAGUGGGGGAUAACGUAGCGAAAGUUACGCUAAUACCGCAUAUUCUGUGAGCAGGAAAGCAGGGGAUCGCAAGACCUUGCGCUGAUUGAGCGGCCGAUAUCAGAUUAGCUAGUUGGUGAGGUAAAGGCUCACCAAGGCGACGAUCUGUAGCGGGUCUGAGAGGAUGAUCCGCCACACUGGAACUGAGACACGGUCCAGACUCCUACGGGGA